Molecule: ribosomal RNA, 334 nt
Filed under: Oxalobacteraceae bacterium T7
Lineage: Bacteria; Pseudomonadati; Pseudomonadota; Betaproteobacteria; Burkholderiales; Oxalobacteraceae
Description: partial 16S ribosomal RNA
Rfam family: Bacterial small subunit ribosomal RNA
Source: RNAcentral
GGCUUAGCCUUGGNGGCNAGUGGCGAACGGGUGAGUAAUACAUCGGAACGUACCCAGAAGUGGGGGAUAACGUANCGAAAGUUACGCUAAUACCGCAUACGAUCUACGGAUGAAAGUGGGGGACCUUCGGGCCUCAUGCUUUUGGAGCGGCCGAUGUCUGAUUAGCUAGUUGGUANGGUAAAGGCCUACCAAGGCGACGAUCAGUAGCUGGUCUGAGAGGACGACCAGCCACANUGGGACUGAGACACGGCCCAGACUCCUACGGGAGGCAGCAGUGGGGAAUUUUGGACAAUGGGCGCAANCCUGAUCCAGCAAUGCCGCGUGAGUNAAGAAG